Long non-coding RNA from Mustela lutreola (European mink), 6871 nucleotides. RefSeq lists it as uncharacterized. The transcript has 4 exons. Lineage: Eukaryota; Metazoa; Chordata; Mammalia; Carnivora; Mustelidae. The record is from RefSeq and is a predicted model, not a curated record.
GCGAGACUGGGCAGAGGAGGCCCAGCCGUGGCCUCAGGCCACCCCUGGGAACCCUGAAGUCAGCAGGGCCUUACAGGCUUGUCCUGACUCGCUCCAGGAUGGCCCAGCCCUUGUCCCCAUGCUGAUCUGUCUGUGGCCAUUGGCUGCCCUCUGGGCAGAGUGGCUCGCUCUCCAGAGCUGGGGCCUUCUCAAAAAAUGCUUUUUGCUGCAAAGCUGUCUGCAGAUAUUCCCAGGAGCAGGGGUGAGUCGUUUCUGGAAGGCCAAUCUGGGGAGCACCUCUGGGUGUCCACUGCUCUGGCUCUGAAAUCUGAUUCCCUGUGUGACCUUGGGCAAGAGGCUCAACCUCUCUGAAUCACAGUUCGUCCAUCUGAUGAGAGCGUAGAAUAACUGUCCACUCUGUAGUGUUACCAGGAGGAUUUUCAUUCUCGAGGUAGUGAAAGCCAUAGAAAGAGCUCAGUGAGUUUUUGUUUCUGGAAAUAAGAAAGUCAGGUCUGGCCUUGAGGGGACAUUUAUGCAAUCAUAUAGGUCCAGACAGUUAAGAUCCAGUGUGAGAGGAGCAUGAGUGAGGAGAUCCAGGGGCCCCUCAGGAGUGGCCCCGACCCUAUCUUGGGGACGCUGCCCACACGGCAAGGGACAUCAAAGCUGGGACCUGUGUGAUGAGCCGCAGGAGCCGUCCAGGCAGCGGGGCAGAAGCGUGGGGAGAGGAAAGGAGGUUUCAGGCAACGGGACUAACAUGUGCGAAGGUCCAAAGGAGGGAGCAAAGUGAGCGAUGGUGUCUGGAGCGGGAUGUCCAGGGAGUGGUGGGGACAAUGCAGCAGCCUCAGCCCGAGUCAUAAACACUGACCUUGGCAAAGGCAGAACUUUUCCAGAGGAGGUGCCUUACGUAGGCAUGGCCCACCCUGUUCUCCUGGUUGGCUGGGGCUGGAGCCAGGCAGCAGGGGUGCCCUGGGCCUUAGAGGUCAUGGGUGCUGGACAGAAUAGUGCCUUGACCUCCAAGGCCAGGAGGCCCUGGGCCCUGAGGUCUUCCUGCACACGUGGGCAGGGGAUGACCUGCCUGGUUGGGAACAGGGGACCCUCCUCUGCUAACCCUGAGCUUGGGAGGGAGAAGGGACCUAGGUCUUCCUUGGCACUUACUCUCAGCGCAGAAGUCAUUGGAGCACUAACCAGGGAGUCAGGAAAGCAGUGGGCUGUGUGGCUUUGAACCAGUCCCUCUGCUUCUCUGGACCCGGGUAUGGUUGAAGCAGAUGGUGCCUUCUUAGGAUCCCGCGGCUCUGGUUCCCCGAGUCUGAGGGAUUUUCUCUUUUCUCGUAGCUUCCCUCUGACAAAAUCCCGUCUCUUUGUCCUUUGAUCUUGCUUAUCUUUACUUUCUUCAAGGAGACCAUUUCCUAUUUUUCCUCCCUCUUGACCUCUUAAGGAGCUCUCAAGGCCGCUCUCACAGUCGGCAGGCCUGACGCCUCCUCUCCGCAGCCCCCUGAGAAGGAAACAGAAACAAUAGGAAUCACUUCCCCAGCAGCCCCGCUCCCCUGUCCGGAGGAGGCAUCGAGUUGUUUUUUGGCCGCUGCUGUUUUCCCCGAUCCCACCACACCCUCGGGCCUGCUCUCCCUCGUGACCAGGGCUCUCCACGGAAGGCCCCCAGAGGCCAAGCCCUGCCCUUUGCUCCAGCCCUGGCCGCCUUUGCCCCAGCCCUUGAGUCAGCUGCCUCCCAACCUUGUACUUGGACCUCUGCUUCUCUCAGAAGGCUCACCUUUGAGGCCGCCUCCUCCAUGCAACCUUCCCUGAUCUCAGCUGCUGGAACGAAUCGGUUCUCCUGGACACGCAGCCUCCCGCCUGUCCUGAGUCUUGGCCUCCAUUUUAAUCUGCUCUGGAUCACUGGGAACAAACUUGGGGCUCUGCCCCGCUGCUCCUUGUCCUGAAUGCGUAGACAGUGUGUGCGGGGACAAGGGGAUGGGAGGCUGACCAGGCAGCUCAGCGGUCUGGCCCUGGGGCUCCCCUAGGUCUGAUCUCGAAGUGAGUGGAGUUUGGCCAUGUGCUGCCUGGCCUGAUGCGGAGCGGCCAGACGGCCAGGGGGAGUUGUGGGUACAGUGGGGUGGAAUGAGUUCGGGGAGCUGGCUGGAGGCAUGGACGCGGGGGCAGGCCAUGAUGCCGGCCUUGGGGCCCACGGGGGUGAUGCGGCUGUCCUUCAGAGUGAGGUGAGGGCCCGCUGCGGGCUUUGAGCAGACAAGGGCAAGACCUGACUUCUGUGUUAAUAGGGCCCUACGGGGAGGAACUGUCACGAGCCCAUCCCGCGGAAGAGAAGGCUGAGGCAGAGAAGGUGAGGAGCCUGUCCUCAUUCAUACCACCUGAGGAUGUGACUGUCCGUCCUCGCAUCCCGCUCCCGCCAUCCCACUGUGCAGUUACGUGUCCAGCUCGCUUGUGUGGGGCAACACUCCCCCCAACCCCGGAACGCAGGCUCCACCGCAGCAGGGACGGUCAAGUUCACUGCUGCAUCCUCAGUGCCCCGUACGACACCUGUGACCCAGCAGCAGUUCCGUGAACCUUUACAAAGACAGACAUCCCAGAGGGCGGCAGCGGGCGUGCUGGGUGGUGGUUUCUGGAAGGCUCAGCAUGUGAGGUUUCCUGGGGAAUUCCUCGGACACCAAGCCGACCUGAGGUCACAUACGUGGGUUUCUGCUGGGGGCUUCUCCUGACCCCACCAUGGCACGUGUCUUGGAGAGUCAGAGAAGGAUGCUUGGCCGUGUGGUGUCCUUCACUUAUCAACGUCUCCCUUCUUUCACACGCUCAGCCUCUCACAGCUGUCCAUCGGGUGUUCCCCGAGCACCGCGCUGUGCCCAACACCAGGCCGGGAUGGCACACUAGCGACCGACCGUGCGGCGCCUGUCCUCGUGGACCUUGGCAGUGAGGGUGAGGGAAGGGGAAACUUUCGAUGGGUUCUUUGCACAGGGGGAGGGAGUGGUGUUGGGGUCUGUUCCACGGUGAAGAGUCUCCCUGAGCUGCAGUGGGGGCAGGGUGGGCCUGGAGUGGGGAGCAGGAGGCAGAGCCUGUCUCCAGGGCCAGGAGAGGGAGAGGGCUCCCGGCUGAGAAAGCGGAAGGACUGGACCUGCCAACGUGGGUGUAGGGGUGAGGGAAAGAGAGGAAUCAAAGAAUUCUCUCCGAUUCUGGCCUGAGCAACAGGGAAGGCUUUAGGGGUGGGGGUGCGCCGUGCGAGGGGAAAAGCAUAAGAAUGCCAAAAGUCUUUGGAGUUCAAGGCCAAGACCCUGUUUAUUUGUUUAAUUGUCACAAUGCCUCUUUGCUGGGCCAGAAAAUACAAUGUACAAGGCCAGGCCCCAGGGUUUUCUGCUGCAGCAGGGGCAUUUCCUGCAAUGUUGUUGUCAUUUCUACACUGGAACCCAGAGAGUCAUGUGAGCAGACCUUCCCCUGACCUUGGCCUCCUGGGGUGGGCAGGAACUCACUGUACACAGUCUCCCUGCUGGUGUCUCCUGGCACUGGGGUCUGCUGAAGGGCAUGUCCCAGGCCCUCCAGGUGGGUGGGCCGGGCGUGCCUCACAUGUGUGCAUGUGAAGUAGGGCUGUGCAGAGAAAAGUUAUGUGCAUGUCAAUAAAAUGCAUGCCCAGCUAGGUAUUUCUUUUUUUUUAAUUAUUUUUUAGAAUUUUUAUUUGUUUAUUACACAGAGAGAGACAGAGAGAGAGACAGAGAGAGAGAGCGUGAGCAGGGGAAGGGGCAGAGGGAGAAGCAGACUCCCCACUGAGCAGGGAGCCUGAUGUGGGGCUCGGUCCCAGGACCCUGGAAUCAUGACCUGAGCCAAAGGCAGGUGCUUAAUGACUGAGCCACCCAUGUGCCCCUCUGCUAGAGGUGUUUAACAUCACGUGGGAUUUAGUCCUCAUAACAGCCCAAUGACAUCGGUAUUAACCCCACUAUUUAAACAGGAAAAUGGAGCCAGAGAGGCCUCACAGAGUGCAUAAAGCCUUAGGGGAUACUGCUCAGGUCAGGUCGGUUCCAAGUCCUGCCUCCUUGGUCAUGCUUUUCUUUCCAGGGGAAACGGAAACACUUUUUCUGUUCUUCCCCAACUCCGCAUAUCAUAUUCUGAUUAUCCAAGUGGACUUUAUAGCAGACAGCCCUAAACCAGUUCCUGUCUUCCCCUUGGAGGGUCUGAGUCCCCCGUUUUUUCCCAAACUCAAGACAGAAGCUUCUAGCGUGACAAUGGGCCUUUUUACCUGAGCAAGGAGCUAACAUCCCCUGCUGGGUCUGGAUUAGCACGCUGGGGAGGCUGGAACUCAUUUAUGUCUGUGUUAGAUCACUGAGCAAGCCACUGCCUUAAAAGAGUGUGACUCUUUCAAGGGGGUGUUUGAUUGGUUUGGCUCUUAGGGACCAUGGCUCUGAAGUUCACCCCAAGUGUUGGGACCGAUCCGGCUCCUAGUCCCCGUAAUAAUCUCCCUGCUGCAUUGUAUCCUCUCAAAAGCUUUCAGAGCCUGUUCGAAGCCACUUAGUACCAAGCAGAUGAUCUCCCUAGACCAGAAUGUCAGAGGAGACAGAAAGGGAACCACUGACAUAAGGCUUGUGAGCCUGAAGUUGUGGCCUGUGGAUAUCCCAGAGUCAACAAAAAACAUACCUCCCCUCCCCCGUGAAUAUCACGCAGAGGACCCACGAAAGCUGUGAGAACUGCAGUGUCUCCGAGAGGGGCUGCAGGGGCUUCAAUUUGGAUCACAUCUCUCAGUCAAGAUUUUUUUAUACUGUACCAACAACGCCCCCAGAGGCCCAAGCUGCAGUCACUCACGCCAGCCCACGUCACCAAACGGAAUCUCCGCACCUCACCUAACUGCCGUUUCAACGUCUUCCAGAAAUGGAGUCUGAGUCAGGAAUUCUCUGCUUAGCCCCCAUCUGCAACCUGUCACGUGGGUUCUCUCCAUCCCCACCCCCACCCCAGGAAGGAGGAUCCAGGAGGGCCCUGGUAUUCCUGCUCUGUGUGUGUAAAGUUUUGAGUCCAGUGUUCCUCCGUGGGUCCGUGAAGACAGCUCUGGCUGGGUUUCAACAGGCUGUGCUGGUGUGAGUUCUCUGCUACGUUGAUGGGAUUUCUAGAGCAGGAUGGGGUGAACCCAGUUUUUAAAAUAAAUUAGCUGAUGCUGUCAGUGUUGUGCUUCAUUAUCUACUUUGAUAGGAACAUGAAAUAAGGAAAGUUCUGGAGAAAGAUCCCCCCACAUUUCCUCAUUCUCUCUGAGCAAGCUGUCCCCAGGUUCCUUGGACUGGACUAGCCUCAACCUUGGCCCACAGAGACUUGAAUAAGCACCAGCUUGGUUUGUAGCAACUCAAAGCUACAUCUCUAGGAUGACCCUUGCUCGCUUUAAAGUGCCUGCCUGAGGAAACUCAAGGCUGCCAAAAGAAUUUGCUCUUUGUUCCAGCCAACACCCAAAGACAAGGCCCCUGGCACGCUGCCAUAUUUGUGGGUCCACGGGAGCCGAAUCUGAUACGCUCCAGCUAGUGAACUCAGUCGGUUUCCUAAGGAUAAAGCCCCUUUCCCACUCUGUUGUGAUUUUUCACUUCCCUGACCAGCACUCUAGCUUCUCCCCUUAAAAUGCCCACUCACGUCUGUUCAAAUUGAAGUUAUAGUCAGUUAUGCUGGACUCUUUCUUUAUUGCAAUAGUCGUUACUGAUUAAAAUCUGUCCUUAGCAGUAUCCUUCAGUGUCUGAUUUUGUCCAACAUCUUUAACAACGUAAGUUCAGCUAAGGCCAUCCGAAGAAUCCCUUGGUUGCUUGAGUAAAGAAUGGAAGGGAGCCAACGGGUAGAAACCUCCAGUUUGAAGGCCUUCGGAUGCAGAAAUGGAUGAACACAUCAUCGAUCUUCUGACAUUGGGAGUCUACCCAAAGGUGGGCUGUGUCUCUGAUGAGGCAUAAAGCAUUGAAAACACCUCAUAGAAGCUGGUAGGAUAGGUUUUUGGUUUGUUUUGCUCCCCCAGAGUUUGGUACACAGCCAGACUCAUAUAAGUAGGAUAAUUUAAAAAUAUACUGUAAAAAUACUUUUAUUUUUGAAUUUUUGGAGUUUUUUAAAAAUAAGUAUUGAUUUUCAUGGUUCAGAAUGCGAAAGAUGUUUCCGUCUCUUCCUUGUUUCCAACCACUCAGUUUCUCUUAUCAGUAAAUACUAAUUUUUAGAUAUCCUCUGGAUGAAGUUCACGUUCUUUUACACAGUGAACUCCUUCUACGACCUGGACUUGUUCAUCUCCCCAGACCUCUCCCCACACUUAGCCUUUGCCCUUUAUUCUCCAGCCUGUACCAAACGUAGCGGCUCAGAAUGCUGUGUUCUCUGUGACCCGCUCCUGCUACCCUUUCAUCAGUUAGCGGAAGGUUUCUGGCCAGCCCGGCCCCAGCUUCUCUGUCGCAGUGGGGACCCGCUGUCCAGAGGCUCCGAGAGCCCUCCAUCGCACUCCGCCCCCCGUUCUCCUGAUCGCCCCGUUCCUGAGGUACAAUCCUAGUAGGCUCCUGCUUCCCGGAGAUCUGAGGCUCCUUAAUCAUCAUUAAAGGCUCAAGACCAGAGGCCAACACACAGUAGGGCUGGAUGAAAGCUGCUGUCUCCUGGACAACACUUGGCCAUUCUCCUUGUUCUCGAAACUGUAGCCUUUGGAAGUCCUGGGACUGGUGAUUGGAAACUGAGGCUUCACCUCCGUGGUGUGCGUCCCCAACCCCACGUCUAACAAAGGGGACGUGUCUCCUCCUGGAAGCCUGAAGGAGGUGCCCGGCUCACACACAAAUUACCCCUGGAGCUGGUGGUUCCCCUUCUUCCACUCUCCCUGGGCACGGCUGGUCACACUGGUGUGACCAGCCUGUGGGUGUGAGGUGGUAUUUUUUACUGUGAAUGAGUAAAACAGCAUUUUUGUUUCAUUUCA